Penaeus vannamei (Pacific white shrimp) is the source of this 518-nucleotide long non-coding RNA. RefSeq lists it as uncharacterized. The record is from RefSeq and is a predicted model, not a curated record. Lineage: Eukaryota; Metazoa; Arthropoda; Malacostraca; Decapoda; Penaeidae.
UCCCGCCGGCCAUUCUCCGCGCGACUCUCGUUCAGCGCAGACGCGUGUUCCUCGCUCGAGAAUUUGCCUUCGAAGGGCGACAAAACCCCAAGGCUCCUCGCCAUUGGCUCUCAAAGGCCUCGACAUCACCCAAGACCGCAAGGAGAAGCUGUGUCAGCGGCCGCAGGAUGAAGUGGCUGUGGAUCCUUCUGCAGGUGUUGGCGGCCGCGUCCGCUCGGAGCCUGGGCGGGGAGGUCGGCGUGCCGCUGGUCACAGAAAAUCCCCUUUGCUUCAAAGUCAACUGUCCGCACAUUAUUGUCCCCGGAUGUGACCCCCCUAAUGUGCCCGGGGGUUGCUGCCCGGACUGGAAGCAGUGCGAAGACUUUGGAGCGUCCUCUUGAACCUUCGAACCGCUGAAGAAACUAUAAUCCUCGGGAGAUUAGAAGCAAAAUUUUAUCCUUUGAGUUCCUUUUAACUCAAGAAGGUCUGUUGAUGUGGAUUUGAACUUGCUUGACUAAUAAAUCCUUUUACUAUUAUUA